AUGCAUCGCUCAUGUGCGUCCGACCUUUUCUUUUGUUACACAGGCUGCUUGGCACCGCUUCCUGUAGGUGUGAAUGCCUCCAGGUCCUGCAGGCCGAGGCCCAUGAGAACCUUUCUGACGGAGCGCUGGGCUGACACACUGCGGUUUGCUCUGCAGCAGCAGAUGGAGGUGAAGUGUGAAAGGAGAAAACCCUGUCAGCGCGCGGAGACGAAUCCGAAACGAGUGGGAGUGGCUGCACCUCGGGUUCGGAGCACAGCGUUGCUGAAGAGGUGCGGUAGCGCUGUGAUAGUGGGAAACAUUGACGAACUAAGUGGCAGAAGUGGAGUCGUUAUUCUAAGGAAGGAAGAGCUUCGUCAGCAUCGAACCACGGCAGCACCGAAGGCGUCUACACCUGACCUCCACAUGAAGGUCACAGAUGCUGAACCGCGGGAGCUGAAACGAAGCAGGGAGACGUCUGGACCAACAUCUUCCUGCUGAGGCCGUUCAAUGAGCCGAGGACCGGCAGCUUCGCUCAGCAGGACUGGACCCAGCCCUGUAAGUAAAAACAUGAAGCCUCUGUGUUUAUGGUGGUGGCGGUGCUCUGUCGCGUUAAAGCCACCUCUGAGAUUAAAGCCUCGUCUGGUCGACGUCCCAGACUGAAAGAUGGCAGCAGCCGCAUGGGGCCGACGCGCCGCCCAGUGGCUGCUGCGCCCUGGACCUGCGAUGGGACUCCUCCUCCGGGAGCUUCUACACAAGAUCGGUCUUCCAGUGUCCGUGACCGAAAUACUGAGCUGUGUACGAGUGAUGUCCAGCUUUUGAUGAGACCGCUGGAGCCUGCAUAAAUCUUGGUGGGUUGUCAUGGCUGCUCUGAAUAAAACCACCAGCCUCACGCUCUCA
Molecule: long non-coding RNA, 876 nt
Filed under: Betta splendens (Siamese fighting fish)
Lineage: Eukaryota; Metazoa; Chordata; Actinopteri; Anabantiformes; Osphronemidae
Description: lncRNA (ENSBSLG00000001300.1)
Source: RNAcentral